GUGCCAGCAGCCGCGGUAAUACGAAGGGUGCAAGCGUUGCUCGGAAUUAUUGGGCGUAAAGGGUUGGUAGGUGGUCUUGUUUGUCUAAGGUGAAAUCCCAUGGCUUAACUGUGGAAGUGCCUUAGAAACGGCAAGACUAGAGUCCUAGAGGGGUUUGUGGAAUUCCCGGUGUAGCGGUGAAAUGCGUAGAGAUCGGGAGGAACACCAGCGGCGAAGGCGGCAAACUGGAUAGGCACUGACACUCAACAACGAAAGCGUGGGGAGCAAACAGGAUUAGAUACCCUGGUAGUCC
Molecule: ribosomal RNA, 292 nt
Filed under: uncultured bacterium
Lineage: Bacteria
Description: partial 16S ribosomal RNA
Rfam family: Bacterial small subunit ribosomal RNA
Source: RNAcentral